Molecule: ribosomal RNA, 492 nt
Filed under: uncultured bacterium
Lineage: Bacteria
Description: partial 16S ribosomal RNA
Rfam family: Bacterial small subunit ribosomal RNA
Source: RNAcentral
AUUGAACGCUGGCGGUAUGCCUUACACAUGCAAGUCGAACGGUAGCACGGUAAGCUGUCGCUCUUACGGCGGGCGAGUAGCGUAUCGGUGAGUGAUACAUCGGGGUCGACUUCUUCGCGGAGGAGCAGCUAGUACAACUUACGCUAAUACCGCAUACGACCUAGAUCGCAAAACAUCGCGCCUUUGGAGCUGCCGCUAUCAGAUUAGCCGAUUUCUGAUUAGCUAGUUGGCGGGGUAAAGGCCCACCAAGUCGACGAUCCGUAGCUGGUCUGAGAGGAUGAUCAGCCACACUGGGACUGAGACACGGUCCAGACUCCUACGGGAGGCAGCAGUGGGGAAUAUUGGACAAUGGGCGCAAGCCUGAUCCAGCCAUGCCGCGUGCGUGAAGAAGGCCUUCGGGUUGUAAAGCGCUUUUGUUAGGGAAGAAAAGGAGCAGGCUAAUACCUCGGUGUCAUGACGGUACCUGAAGAAUAAGCACCGGCUAACUACGUG